RNAcentral lists this long non-coding RNA (1105 nucleotides) under Dromaius novaehollandiae (emu). RNAcentral describes it as "lncRNA (ENSDNVG00000010847.1)". The record is from RNAcentral. Lineage: Eukaryota; Metazoa; Chordata; Aves; Casuariiformes; Dromaiidae.
GAAAGCCAUGUCCUAGUUUAAGCAGGGACUGAGACUCAGCCCUGCUUGGUACCUCAUUUAGAGCCCUUAGGGGAGAGAUCUGAUCUCCCAUGGAAUCUCUAACAUCUUCGUUCAGCUGCAUUUCCUCUGCUCGUUUUCCCCCACUGGAAACAAGAACGAGCAUAACAAAGGUUUUUAUCCUCAAAUUUUACUGUAAUUAAAAUACAGAGAUGCAGAAUAUUCCCAGAAACACACUGCAAAACAAACCAAGCAAACAAAUUCAGUAAGAAACCAAUUACAGACAAUGAAAUGAUAAAGAACAAAAGUGUUCUCUGGAGCCCAGCACCGUGCAUGGGACUAUGUGGUCACAGUGACGGCUUAGGGUUUCCAAAGGACUCUCAGGCUCACACAGAGGCAGAGAUGGGCCCCGGCAUCCUGUCCCAGCAGCUAAAUGACCCACCCAUAGGAACAAGAGCCAACAAGGGAAUCCAGAGGAAAAGAAGUGGGUUAAGUUUUUCCACACACAAAACACAACUGGAAAAAGGGAUGGAAGACGUGCACUUCUCUCACAGCCAAGGGAGCUGCAGGAGCAGAGUCACCCUCUCUGCCCUCCCAGCCAUAAUAAAGGUCUUAGUAGGAGCUUUGGAGAGCUGGAUCUGGGGGCACGACAAAAAGCUAAGAAAACUAAGUAAAUGAUAAUUAAAUGAACAACGGAAAAAGGGAGGAAAGGAAGUGCCUGUGGGUUCUCCUCUCGGCUGCCUUGGGGCAUAGAGAUCCCCCACUGGGGCAGGGCCCAGAGCUGCUUGAAGGCCACAUCCCAGUCCCCCGACAGGAACAGAAUCUAGCACAUGGCAAAAGCUAGGGUGAGGCAUAAGCAGGGAGCUGAUCUGGCCCACGGACCAUCCAUUGGGCAUCCUGAUCUAGCUACUUGGAAACGUCUAGUAUUUGUCACUACUAUGGAAGCAGGAUAUCAGCCAGGAGUGGAACAACAUACACCAAAACCUACAUUCUUCUACUUUUUUUCCCCCUACAUUCUUCCAUAAGACAAAUUCCAUCACAUUAAUCCCACAAUUCAGAGGCUGUCCUAGGAAAUAAAUUCCCCUCCACACUCCUCCUUUUCUUGCUC